UAAAGAGAGAAGGAAAAUCCAAAGCUUUUUUUAGCUUUCUUUCCAGGAGCUGGUCAAUUAAUCUUCCUAUCAAAUUCAGACUUAUUUUUAAACUUGUGGUUUCUUGUCUGCAUCCCACUCCGCAAAAGGAAUUUAAUCUGCCCACGUCUCACUUAUAUUUAGAGACAUGGAUCUUAACCAGCAACCCUUUUCUGUUUUUUUUUUUUUUUUUUUUUUGAUAGUGAGAUUGGAGUCUGGACCUUGAUCACAAGUCAGUUGUAUGUCUUUCAUAUCAAUCUCUCUAAAGAGGGUCAAACAAAGCAGUUCUGCAUGAAGGACAAUGUUAGGAAAUGCACUGAAGGAAGCCACAGUCCAGCAUGGGAGUCAGAAGUCAUCAAAGACAUACAGAAGCAUGUGUAUAGCUGCAGAUGCACAUGACUAUUAUCUAUCAGUGGGAGUUGCUACAGUGUUUUCCCUGAACUUCAAGACUACUCAAAAAUACUGUUGGUGAGAGCUCUGUUUUCCUCCUUGUCUCAAACCUACAUAAAUAACUGUCCAUUUCAGCACAAAAAGCAGGGAAGACUGAUCAUGGGGCGAAGAAGGGAAUGUCA
This 590-nucleotide long non-coding RNA is filed under the name Anas platyrhynchos platyrhynchos (common mallard). RNAcentral's name for it is "lncRNA (ENSAPLG00000018709.1)". The record is from RNAcentral. Lineage: Eukaryota; Metazoa; Chordata; Aves; Anseriformes; Anatidae.